This 756-nucleotide ribosomal RNA is filed under the name uncultured bacterium. RNAcentral describes it as "bacterial SSU rRNA". It matches the Rfam family "Bacterial small subunit ribosomal RNA", at positions 8 to 796 of the family's 1533-position model. The record is from RNAcentral.
AGAGUUUGAUCCUGGCUCAGAAUCAACGCUGGCGGCGUGCCUAACACAUGCAAGUCGAACGAGAAAGGGUAGCAAUACCUGAGUAAAGUGGCGCACGGGUGAGUAACACGUGACUAACCUACCCUGGAGUGGGGAAUAACUGAGGGAAACCUUAGCUAAUACCGCAUAAUACCUACGGGUCAAAGGAGCAAUUCGCUUCAGGAGGGGGUCGCGGCCGAUUAGUUAGUUGGCGGGGUAAUGGCCCACCAAGACAGUGAUCGGUAUCCGGCCUGAGAGGGCGCACGGACACACUGGAACUGAAACACGGUCCAGACUCCUACGGGAGGCAGCAGUGGGGAAUUUUGCGCAAUGGGGGAAACCCUGACGCAGCAACGCCGCGUGGAGGAUGAAAUCCCUUGGGAUGUAAACUCCUUUCGAUCGGGACGAUUAUGACGGUACCGGAAGAAGAAGCCCCGGCUAACUUCGUGCCAGCAGCCGCGGUAAUACGAGGGGGGCAAGCGUUGUUCGGAAUUAUUGGGCGUAAAGGGAGCGUAGGCGGUUUUGUAAGUCGUGUGUGAAAUCUUCGGGCUCAACCCGAAGUCUGCACUCGAAACUGCAGGGCUUGAGUAUGGGAGAGGUGAGUGGAAUUCCUGGUGUAGCGGUGAAAUGCGUAGAUAUCAGGAGGAACACCUGUGGCGAAAGCGGCUCACUGGACCAUUACUGACGCUGAGGCUCGAAAGCUAGGGGAGCAAACAGGAUUAGAUACCCUAGUAGUCC